Musa acuminata AAA Group (dessert banana) is the source of this 2043-nucleotide long non-coding RNA. RefSeq lists it as uncharacterized. NCBI's taxonomy places the organism in Eukaryota, Viridiplantae, Streptophyta, Magnoliopsida, Zingiberales, Musaceae. The transcript has 4 exons. The record is from RefSeq and is a predicted model, not a curated record.
GAAGAGUGUCACUUCGCUAAUCAGUGCUCAAAAGUACGAAGACGGAAUUCUGCUAUGGGAGUGGAUGCAAGCGAAGACGGCGAAACAACUUCUCGAGGCCCGCGGCUGCCGCCAUCGCGGAUAUACGAGAUCCGCAAGAGGGCCGAGCUCUGGACCGCGCCUCCGAGUUGGACCGUGCCUCCAGCCUCGCCACCGUCAUCGCCGACGAGCAGCUCGAAUAAGCUCCACCCGAUCGCUCUCAGCGACCCGGCGGCUGCGACAUGUGCAACGUCCGGGACGGUUCUUCCCUACGGGCAUCGCCCGAGCACCGGACCAGGACGCAGGAUAGGAUAGGAUGGGGAGGAGGAUGUGGUGGUCAAGAAGGAAACAUCGAGUGGUGGAGAGAGUCAUAGUUCGUCGUCGUUGUCCGAGGCUAUAGAUGUGGAAGAGAAAGAAUCUGGCGCAGCGAGUGAUCAAAUUGAUCAACAUUCGACCCUUACCUCAAAGAGAUGAAAAUCUUGGCAAAACCCUAAUCGUCAAGAUUAUUACGCAAGGGAAGAUUGGAGGAUUUCUGGACGGGAUCAUGUCACCAUGGAUGCCUGCCGAAAGAUGGACAGCCACUCUGACGGGGCGAGGCGCGGAGGCAAAGAGUUCCAGAUCGGUUUGGCCGGAAUAAAGUAACGAAGCGAUGGCUAAUUUCCAAGGACUUGAAGAUGGAAGAUGGAAGAUGGAGAAGCUAGUUGUAUAGCAAAUGUUAGUACAAGAAACCAUAGAAAUGGCAUCAGCCAACGAUUUGGGGAUUCAUUUAGUUUGAAUGUUGACGUCUGGCAAGGGAGAAAUGGUUAAGAUCGGUUAAUGGAAAAUGCAGCAGUGCCAAUAGCAGGUCCGUAACAGAGAGGAUGGCACUGCGACCUACCAGAGGCUUGUUCAACAGGGAGGGUAACCAUGGCAGGAAAAGUUCCUUGCAGAGUGGAGAUAAUGGUUACAAAAGAUAUGCUGAGAGGUCUAAGCACCGAAGACAACCUGAUUUUGAUCGGAAUUUUUGGUUGGAAUCUUGAAUUCCGAGGUCCAAUGAUAACAACAAGCCAUAAUUCUUAGCUUUUUGGGAUCGGCUCAAUGGAUCUUUAUCCAAUAUUGAAUUCCAAGGAAGAACUUUCCAAUUACACUGUGAUGGUGAUUCUAACUCAAAAGUCAAUUAACCAGGAACAGUACCCCGGAAGCAUCACAAUCAGAGGCAUGUAAGUGAAAGAAAAAAGCAAGCAGAUGCGGAUGUGAAUCCGAAGCCACUGCUGGAAGACGUCUGAUUUCUCUUGCAGAAUGAUCACCUUGGAUGAGAAGAACCAAGUGAGGCAGCGGGAGGAGAUGGAAUGCAGCGGGAGUGUGGCGUUAUUUAUAGUGCCCAGGAGCAGAAAAAGGCGUGAAUCUGGCAAUGCUAAUAGGAUGAGAGCAUGAGGAGGAACUCCCUCUAGAUUUACCAGGACAACUCGGAAUGGAAACUGCAAAACUGCGUGUCACAGAACUGCGUGCGUCCCACUUGGCGUGAUAGAAUGAGGCUGUGGAAGGAGGAACACGAUCUUAUCAUGCAAAAGGUAGGAUUGCAUGGUCAGACACCUGCAGGUGCCAUCGAGUUCAUGCUACUUACUGCAUGCCUCACAUGGCCUACCCAUCAUGAGCAACGCAGUGCCCCCUUCUUCUUCUUGUCUUGAGUUGCUGUCUGGGAGUCAAACUGGACUGAUACAUGAUGAUGAACAGGUUGGAGUAUUCAAUUCCUGCCCGCGUUAAUUUUCUUGGAUCGAGCCCACCGCGUUAAAUACAUGAUGAUGGCAAACUGGAAAAGAAGUCAUCUGGAAGCUGGGUGUGACUGUAGAACAGAUCUUUGUACCAAUUAAGUCCUAGUUGAAUGAAGGUGGAGGGCGCAGAGUCACAUGGACCUUAUCACCGGCGGUAGCUCCUUUUGUACCGUGUGGUCUGCACCUCAACAAACUGACGGCUUACCUGUUUGUAAAAGCUGUAAGUCCUUUGCCACCCAAAUCUACGAGAUCUGCGAGCGACCACAAAAGAAAA